CCCGCUGAACUUAAGCAUAUCACUAAGCGGAGGAAAAGAAAUUAACUAAGAUUGCCUCAGUAACGGCGAGUGAAGCGGCAAAAGCCCAAAAUGUAAAUCUUCACACUGCGUGUGAACGAAUUGUAAUCUAAAGAUGGUUCGCUUACCGGGCGGUGGCGCAGAAGUGCCUUAGAACGGGCCGCCAGAGAGGGUGACAGCCCCGUAUGUGGUGCCACUGCCUACCGAGCGUGCUAUCGAAGAGUCGGGUUGUUUUGUAUUGCAGCCCUAAGUGGGAGAUAAACUUCUUCUAAGGCUAAAUAUCUAUGGGAAACCGAUAGCGAACAAGUACUGUGAAGGAAGGAUGAAAAGAACUUUGAAAAGAGAGUCAAAAGACUUGAAAUCGUUGAGAAGGAAGCGGUAGAAAUUUAUUCUUCGGCGGAGGACAGUGGCGGCUGCCUAUCCAUUGCCGGGCGUCAGCACUGCAAAGGCUGCGUCUGGUACUUGGGGAAGCGGCCGCUUUGCCCUCCGUCGUGAGGCAAGAUGGGGUCGCGUUCCCGCAGAGGCCUCCUCGACCUGGCCUGAUUCGUCAGGCAGUCGGGGAUGUGCCGGCGGGCGCGCGGCCUGAGGGUGCUUCGUGCGAUCUUGCCAAAAUGGUUUUUACCGACCCGUCUUGAAACACGG
RNAcentral lists this ribosomal RNA (660 nucleotides) under uncultured fungus. RNAcentral describes it as "eukaryotic LSU rRNA". It matches the Rfam family "Eukaryotic large subunit ribosomal RNA", at positions 24 to 664 of the family's 3401-position model. The record is from RNAcentral. Lineage: Eukaryota; Fungi.